This 494-nucleotide ribosomal RNA is filed under the name Dicrateria sp. RCC5657. RNAcentral describes it as "SSU rRNA". It matches the Rfam family "Eukaryotic small subunit ribosomal RNA", at positions 625 to 1123 of the family's 1831-position model. Lineage: Eukaryota; Haptophyta; Isochrysidales; Isochrysidaceae. The record is from RNAcentral.
CGCUCGUAGUCGGAUUUCGGGGCGGCUUCGUCGGUCUGCCGAUGGGUAUGCACUGACGCGGGCGUCCUUCCUUCCGGAGACGCGUCCUACUCUUAGCUGAGCGGGGCGUGGAGACGGAUCGUUUACUUUGAAAAAAUCAGAGUGUUUCAAGCAGGCAUCAUCGCUCUUGCAUGGAUUAGCAUGGGAUAAUGAAAUAGGACCUUGGUGCUAUUUUGUUGGUUUCGAGCACCGAAGUAAUGAUUAACAGGGACAGUCAGGGGCACUCGUAUUCCGCCGAGAGAGGUGAAAUUCUCAGACCAUCGGAAGACGAACCACUGCGAAAGCAUUUGCCAGGGAUGUUUUCACUGAUCAAGAACGAAAGUUAGGGGAUCGAAGACGAUCAGAUACCGUCGUAGUCUUAACCAUAAACCAUGCCGACUAGGGAUUGGAGGAUGUCCACUUUUGACUUCUUCGCCACCUUACGGGAAACUAAAGUCUUUGGGUUCCGGGGGGAG